RNAcentral lists this unclassified non-coding RNA (253 nucleotides) under uncultured Flavobacteriaceae bacterium. RNAcentral's name for it is "contains 16S-23S intergenic spacer region". It matches the Rfam family "Bacterial small subunit ribosomal RNA", at positions 524 to 776 of the family's 1533-position model. The record is from RNAcentral. Lineage: Bacteria; Pseudomonadati; Bacteroidota; Flavobacteriia; Flavobacteriales; Flavobacteriaceae.
UACGUAGGAUGCAAGCGUUAUCCGGAAUCAUUGGGCUUAAAGGGUCCGUAGGCGGGACAAUAAGUCAGUGGUGAAAGCCUGCGGCUUAACUGUAGAACUGCCAUUGAUACUGGUGUCCUUGAGUAAUUAUGAAGUGGUUAGAAUAUGUAGUGUAGCGGUGAAAUGCAUAGAUAUUACAUAGAAUACCGAUUGCGAAGGCAGAUCACUAAUAAUUCACUGACGCUGAGGGACGAAAGCGUAGGUAGCAAACAGG